Molecule: ribosomal RNA, 722 nt
Filed under: uncultured bacterium
Lineage: Bacteria
Description: bacterial SSU rRNA
Rfam family: Bacterial small subunit ribosomal RNA
Source: RNAcentral
AGAUACCCUGGUAGUCCAUGCCGUAAACGAUGAUUGCUAGGUGUGGGGGGUCUGACCCCUUCCGUGCUGGAGUUAACACAAUAAGCAAUCCACCUGGGGAGUACGACCGCAAGGUUGAAACUCAAAGGAAUUGACGGGGGCCCGCACAAGCAGUGGAGUAUGUGGUUUAAUUCGAAGCAACGCGAAGAACCUUACCAGGUCUUGACAUCCACCGAAUCCUGUAGAGAUACGGGAGUGCCCUUCGGGGAGCGGUGAGACAGGUGGUGCAUGGUUGUCGUCAGCUCGUGUCGUGAGAUGUUGGGUUAAGUCCCGCAACGAGCGCAACCCUUGUGAAUAGUUGCUACGAAAGAGCACUCUAUUCAGACCGCCGUUGACAAAACGGAGGAAGGUGGGGAUGACGUCAAAUCAUCAUGCCCCUUAUGACCUGGGCUACACACGUACUACAAUGGUCGUUAACAGAGGGAAGCAAGGCCGCGAGGUGGAGCGAACCCCUAAAAACGAUCUCAGUUCAGAUUGCAGGCUGAAACUCGCCUGCAUGAAGAUGGAAUUGCUAGUAAUCGCGGAUCAGCAUGCCGCGGUGAAUACGUUCCCGGGCCUUGUACACACCGCCCGUCACACCAUGAGAGCCGGGGACACCCGAAGUCGGUUGGGUAACCGUAAGGAGCCCGCCGCCGAAGGUGGAAUCGGUAAUUGGGGUGAAGUCGUAACAAGGUAACCAAGCC